Molecule: ribosomal RNA, 417 nt
Filed under: Escherichia coli
Lineage: Bacteria; Pseudomonadati; Pseudomonadota; Gammaproteobacteria; Enterobacterales; Enterobacteriaceae
Description: partial 23S ribosomal RNA
Rfam family: Bacterial large subunit ribosomal RNA
Source: RNAcentral
GAACCGACUAAUGUUGAAAAAUUAGCGGAUGACUUGUGGCUGGGGGUGAAAGGCCAAUCAAACCGGGAGAUAGCUGGUUCUCCCCGAAAGCUAUUUAGGUAGCGCCUCGUGAAUUCAUCUCCGGGGGUAGAGCACUGUUUCGGCAAGGGGGUCAUCCCGACUUACCAACCCGAUGCAAACUGCGAAUACCGGAGAAUGUUAUCACGGGAGACACACGGCGGGUGCUAACGUCCGUCGUGAAGAGGGAAACAACCCAGACCGCCAGCUAAGGUCCCAAAGUCAUGGUUAAGUGGGAAACGAUGUGGGAAGGCCCAGACAGCCAGGAUGUUGGCUUAGAAGCAGCCAUCAUUUAAAGAAAGCGUAAUAGCUCACUGGUCGAGUCGGCCUGCGCGGAAGAUGUAACGGGGCUAAACCAUG